Molecule: non-coding RNA, 255 nt
Organism: Vicia faba (fava bean)
Lineage: Eukaryota; Viridiplantae; Streptophyta; Magnoliopsida; Fabales; Fabaceae
Source: the annotation of a GenBank genome assembly
AUGGGAGGCAAAAAUAGGCAAAGGAAAUCUUCAUCUUUUCUAUCUAUUUUCAACAUUUUCAAAUCUAACAAGCAUAGAGGAGGAAGUAAUUACAAUGCUUAUGAAGAAGGAACAAAGCCAGGGUACAAAAUAUGGCCUAGUGAUGAAGAUAAAGGUAGCUGGGGAGUUGCUGAUCCUGUAAUUGACAUGAGAGCUACAGAUUUUAUUGCGCGAUACAAGAAACGCGUUUCGGAUUCAGAAAUUCACCAAGCUUAA